Molecule: ribosomal RNA, 468 nt
Filed under: uncultured bacterium
Lineage: Bacteria
Description: partial 16S ribosomal RNA
Rfam family: Bacterial small subunit ribosomal RNA
Source: RNAcentral
GACGAACGCUGGCGGCGUGCUUAACACAUGCAAGUCGAACGGAAAGGCCCUGCUCUUGUGGCGUGCUCGAGUGGCGAACGGGAGAGUAACCCGUGAGUAACCUGCCCUUGACUUUGGGAUAACGCUAGGAAACUGGGGCCAAUACCGGAUAGGAGCGCCUGCUCCCGGGUGGGGGCUGGCGAGUGUCGGCGGUUGGGGAUGGGCUCGCGGCUUAUCAGCUGGUUGGUGGGGUAGUGGCUUACCAAGGCUUUGACGGGUAGCCGGCCUGAGCGGGUGACCGGCCACAUUGGGACUGAGAUACCGCCCAGACUCCUACGGGAGGCAGCAGUGGGGAAUAAUGCACAAUGGGCGGAAGCCUGAUGCAGCAACGCCGCGUGCGGGAUGACGGCCUUCGGGUUGUAGUCCGCUUUCGCCUGUGACGAAGAGUGAGUGACGGUAAUGGGUAAAGAAGCACCGGCUAACUACGUG